RNAcentral lists this ribosomal RNA (659 nucleotides) under Trichoderma sp. BAB-3584. RNAcentral's name for it is "eukaryotic LSU rRNA". The stretch from base 252 to 405 matches the Rfam family "5.8S ribosomal RNA". Lineage: Eukaryota; Fungi; Ascomycota; Sordariomycetes; Hypocreales; Hypocreaceae. The record is from RNAcentral.
GUAGGUGAACCAGCGGAGGGAUCAUUACCGAGUUUACAACUCCCAAACCCCAAUGUGAACGUUACCAAUCUGUUGCCUCGGCGGGAUUCUCUUGCCCCGGGCGCGUCGCAGCCCCGGAUCCCAUGGCGCCCGCCGGAGGACCAACUCCAAACUCUUUUUUUCUCUCCGUCGCGGCUCCCGUCGCGGCUCUGUUUUAUUUUUGCUCUGAGCCUUUCUCGGCGACCCUAGCGGGCGUCUCGAAAAUGAAUCAAAACUUUCAACAACGGAUCUCUUGGUUCUGGCAUCGAUGAAGAACGCAGCGAAAUGCGAUAAGUAAUGUGAAUUGCAGAAUUCAGUGAAUCAUCGAAUCUUUGAACGCACAUUGCGCCCGCCAGUAUUCUGGCGGGCAUGCCUGUCCGAGCGUCAUUUCAACCCUCGAACCCCUCCGGGGGGUCGGCGUUGGGGAUCGGCCCCUCACCGGGCCGCCCCCGAAAUACAGUGGCGGUCUCGCCGCAGCCUCUCCUGCGCAGUAGUUUGCACACUCGCACCGGGAGCGCGGCGCGGCCACAGCCGUAAAACACCCCAAACUUCUGAAAUGUUGACCUCGGAUCAGGUAGGAAUACCCGCUGAACUUAAGCAUAUCAAUAAGCGGAGGAAAAGAAACCAACAGGGAUUGCCCC